This is a long non-coding RNA of Rhinichthys klamathensis goyatoka, 1033 nucleotides long. RefSeq lists it as uncharacterized. Lineage: Eukaryota; Metazoa; Chordata; Actinopteri; Cypriniformes; Leuciscidae. The record is from RefSeq and is a predicted model, not a curated record. The transcript is spliced from 3 exons.
UGUCUGGAGUUUUUUUGCCUGCUGAAAUCUCUCGGAAAGCUUUCAAAAUCAAAGAUGGCGCUGCCGUGAAUAAGGACUUUUUAAUUUAUGGAUUCUUACCAAACCAGUUGAGAACCUCUGGUUUUGGACAUAAUAUAGACGUAUACUUGAAGAAGAGAAGAGCGUAGAAUGUACUACACUUACUGUAGAUGGCAGAAAUCUCUUCUAAAUAUAAUGUAUAAAUAAGAGUUUUAUAGGUUAAUAGGCACAUAAUUGGAUUUACAUCACUCUAUUUGCAACUUACAUGUAGUUCGGUCUUCAAGCUGAAGAGCUUGGAUGUGUGAUGUGGUCAUGUGAUUGGGCACGGGUCAUGUGAUUGGGCACGGGUCAAGUGAUUGGGCACGGGUCAUGUGAUUGGGCACAGGUCGCGUAGAGCGGGCACGGGUCAUGUGAUUGGGCACAGGUCGCGUAGAGCGGGCACGGGUCAUGUGAUUGGGCACGGGUCAUGUGAUUGGGCACAGGUCGCGUAGAGCGGGCACGGGUCCUCCCUCAGUCCGGGUCUCUGUCCGGCACCAGAACCCCGAAAACCCAAUCCAGAUGCUGGACCUAGAAAACACACAGCGGUUAUUAAUUACUGGCAGCUUCGCCAUGUUCUUGUACUAUGCGUUGUAGCAAUAAACAUGCUGUUUCGCAUUAUUUCUUCUGAUAACUAUGCUUUCUUUUUUUGUACCUCAAUUAUAAAUUGUGAGGGUUAAUAGAUAAUCAGCUUCACGAACCUUCUCAGAUGAGGUGAAAGUUCAUGACAAACAUUCACUGAUCAGUGCCGCUUGAGAACGAUUAAACGCAUUCCACAUCUUGUGCCGAUGGAUCUGCAGUAUUUUAGUGUGUUUUAUUUGUUUAACCCUUUGCUUUCAAUCUGAUGAGGUUUUACUGUUCAUAACAAAGUGCUGUUAGUCAUUUUAUAUGUGGCCUUGAGCAUCUGUGUCCACUUGUUCAGUCACUCCAGUGUUUUCUAUUAAACCCUGAUAAGGUUAAACACGUGCUUUACUUCUCU